UCUUGAGUAGUCCUUUCAAGGACUGUCCAACCUGAGAAUGGUGAUUUUAGGCUCAAUCUCAGGUUCGUCAGCCCAUGAAAUGCUAACUCGCC
This 92-nucleotide microRNA precursor is filed under the name Oreochromis niloticus (Nile tilapia). RNAcentral's name for it is "mir-1388 microRNA precursor family". It matches the Rfam family "mir-1388 microRNA precursor family". RNAcentral also lists the same sequence under 1 other name. The record is from Rfam by way of RNAcentral. Lineage: Eukaryota; Metazoa; Chordata; Actinopteri; Cichliformes; Cichlidae.